RNAcentral lists this ribosomal RNA (253 nucleotides) under uncultured bacterium. Its description in RNAcentral is "partial 16S ribosomal RNA". It matches the Rfam family "Bacterial small subunit ribosomal RNA", at positions 524 to 776 of the family's 1533-position model. The record is from RNAcentral.
UACGGAGGGGGCUAGCGUUGUUCGGAAUUACUGGGCGUAAAGCGCGCGUAGGCGGACCUGCAAGUCGGGGGUGAAAGCCCGAGGCUCAACCUCGGAACUGCCUUCGAUACUGCGGGUCUCGAGUCCGGGAGAGGUGAGUGGAAUUCCUAGUGUAGAGGUGAAAUUCGUAGAUAUUCGCAAGAACACCAGUGGCGAAGGCGGCUCACUGGUCCGGUACUGACGCUGAGGUGCGAAAGCGUGGGGAGCAAACAGG